This 347-nucleotide unclassified non-coding RNA is filed under the name soil metagenome. RNAcentral describes it as "partial contains 5.8S ribosomal RNA, internal transcribed spacer 2, and large subunit ribosomal RNA". The stretch from base 1 to 120 matches the Rfam family "5.8S ribosomal RNA", at positions 35 to 154 of the family's 154-position model. The record is from RNAcentral.
GAUGAAGAACGUAGUGAAAUGCGAUAAUUAAUGCGAAUUGCAGAAUUCAGUGAAUCAUCGAGUCUUUGAACGCACAUUGCGCCCCCUGGUAUUCCGGGGGGCAUGCCUGUCCGAGCGUCAUUGCUGCCCUCAAGCACGGCUUGUGUGUUGGGCUUCCGUCCCUGGCAACGGGGACGGGCCCAAAAGGCAGUGGCGGCACCAUGUCUGGUCCUCGAGCGUAUGGGGCUUUGUCACCCGCUCCCGUAGGUCCAGCUGGCAGCUAGCCUCGCAACCAAUCUUUUUAACCAGGUUGACCUCGGAUCAGGUAGGGAUACCCGCUGAACUUAAGCAUAUCAAUAAGCGGAGGA